Molecule: long non-coding RNA, 565 nt
Filed under: Lonchura striata (white-rumped munia)
Lineage: Eukaryota; Metazoa; Chordata; Aves; Passeriformes; Estrildidae
Description: domestica (Bengalese finch) lncRNA (ENSLSDG00000015761.1)
Source: RNAcentral
ACCCCAAAACGGGGUGGGGACCCCAAACCGGGGCCGGGGACCCCAAACCGGGGCCGGGGCCCCCCCAAUCCCCUCCGCGGUGCCCCCCCCCCCAGCUGUGACGUCACUCGCCAUCGCGGGGUCCCCGCUCGCCCCCGAGCCCCGGGACCCCCAAAUUGGGGGCGGCUCCAGCCCCGAGAGCGGCUCCGACAGCGCCGCCCCCCGCGGGGCGCCCCCAGGGCCCCUCUCCGAUGGCCCCGCCCAGUCCAGCGAGUCCGAGGAGGGUCUCUGACGCCGCCGCUCCCGAUGGAUUCUCCCGCGGGACCUUCCACGAGAGUCCCCAAAUGUCCCUUGAUGUCCCCAAGUGUCCCCCCGUGUCCCCAAAUGUCCCCAGUCUGUCUCCCCCGAUGUCCCCAAGUGUCCCCGGGCUGGGGGGCCCUGGGGGUGGCCGGACCCCCCCGUGUGUCCCGGGGGGGCCCCAACCCCAAAUAAAAACCUGCAGAGCCACCGGAGGGACACUGGGGGGAUUGGGGGGGACAUUGGGGGGACAUUGGGGACAUUGGGGACAUUGGGGACACUGGGGACA